Gymnodraco acuticeps is the source of this 350-nucleotide long non-coding RNA. RefSeq lists it as uncharacterized. Lineage: Eukaryota; Metazoa; Chordata; Actinopteri; Perciformes; Bathydraconidae. The record is from RefSeq and is a predicted model, not a curated record. The transcript is spliced from 3 exons.
CUGCUUCUCUCUCUCAGGACUUGUCCCAGCUUCUCUCAGGAUCUCACUUUUAAACUUUAUUUAAAAAACAAAACAAAGCUUUUCUUCCUCGCGGAGCUCUGAGCUGCAGCGCGUGCACAGCCUGGCCCAGCACGUGUGGAAUAAAUACGGUCUCGUGGAUAUUUCCGCACGACUUUCGGGAUCUUCCUCCUCCUCCUCUUCCUCACUGUUGACGUUUCCAUGGAGACCCUGGCCCCCAUUUGGACGACCUGUGACCUCGGAGAGAAGUCGUCAGUUUGGGAGCCUCGCUGUGGUUUCCCCCCUGCUGUGAUGGUCUCUGAGCCGCUCCCCCCUCACCUCCCCCCUGCUGU